GACCUCGUGGCUGAGUGGUUCAAGCAGCGGUCUGCAAAACCGCGUACGCCGGUUCGAUUCCGGUCGAGGUCU
This 72-nucleotide transfer RNA is filed under the name Candidatus Daviesbacteria bacterium. Its description in RNAcentral is "tRNA-Cys". It matches the Rfam family "tRNA". Rfam says of the family: Transfer RNA (tRNA) molecules are approximately 80 nucleotides in length. Their secondary structure includes four short double-helical elements and three loops (D, anti-codon, and T loops). The record is from RNAcentral. Lineage: Bacteria; Candidatus Daviesiibacteriota.